RNAcentral lists this unclassified non-coding RNA (171 nucleotides) under uncultured Meliniomyces. RNAcentral's name for it is "sequence contains ITS1". The record is from RNAcentral. Lineage: Eukaryota; Fungi; Ascomycota; Leotiomycetes; Helotiales; Helotiaceae.
ACAACGCCCCGUUUUUGUCGCGAGACUUAAAUGGGUUCAAUACCCAAAACCGUGUCUACUUACCUUUGUUGCUUUGGCAGGCCGCCUUUGGGCGCCGGCUCCGGCUGGCCAGUGCCUGCCAGAGGCCCAAAACUCUAUGUUUAGUGAUGUCUGAGUACUAUAAAAUAUUUA